RNAcentral lists this ribosomal RNA (254 nucleotides) under uncultured bacterium. Its description in RNAcentral is "partial 16S ribosomal RNA". It matches the Rfam family "Bacterial small subunit ribosomal RNA", at positions 524 to 776 of the family's 1533-position model. The record is from RNAcentral.
UACGUAGGGUCCAAACGUUGUUCGGAAUCAUUGGGCGUAAAGGGUACGCAGGCGGUUUUCUAAGUCAGUGGUGAAAAUCUGAGGCUUAACCUCAGAACUGCCAUUGAUACUGGGAGACUAGAGUUGUAAUAGGGGUGGCGGGAAUUCCAAGUGUAGGAGUGAAAUCUGUAGAUAUUUGGAGGAACACCAAUAGCGAAGGCAAGCCACUGGUUAACGACUGACGCUCAGGUACGAGAGCUAGGGGAGCAAAUGGG